UUCCUUGCAUAAUUUUGGAGGUAACCUAGCUGCGUAAUUAUAUUUGCACUUACAGAAGACUGCAUCAGAGUUCCCUUAUUGGUUUGAAAUUCCAUUAAAUAUAUUGCAAGAGCUCCUAGGUUAAGCUUGAUUUAAAUUUGCAUACAUUUUCAUAUAUUUAGCAGAAAUAAAAGAAGGCUUGCAGCUACCAGAAAGUCAUUAAGGCAUUAGUUUCUCUGAGAAGACAGAUCUGGAGAAAAUUCAAGAAAAUGAAUCUCUUUCUCUCUAUAUAUAUAUAAACAGGUGGAGUGGAAGACAAUGCCUGCAUUUAUGGUUAACUAUAAGUGCUACACUAGGAAGAUGAUGGUAUUCAGAUACACACAAAUAAUUUGAUUCAGACAGAUUGGAUACAAGAUUUCAACCAGCAUAAGGAGAACAGAUGAAAACGAGAAGUGAUAACUGGCAGUGCGUAAAAUACUGGGAAAAGAAAUCACUGACCAAGCCAUGGAGACCAAAAUCAGUACUAAUUCUAUUAAUUGAAAGAUCAUUCAUUCAGUACGAAGGCCUGAUCCUGUGAAGAUUUAAAUAGGUGAGUAACUCAGGUGCUUAGGUAUUUUCAG
This 599-nucleotide long non-coding RNA is filed under the name Gopherus agassizii (Agassiz's desert tortoise). RNAcentral describes it as "lncRNA (ENSGAGG00000023564.1)". Lineage: Eukaryota; Metazoa; Chordata; Testudines; Testudinidae. The record is from RNAcentral.